This 403-nucleotide ribosomal RNA is filed under the name uncultured Thermosporothrix sp. RNAcentral describes it as "bacterial SSU rRNA". It matches the Rfam family "Bacterial small subunit ribosomal RNA", at positions 355 to 774 of the family's 1533-position model. Lineage: Bacteria; Bacillati; Chloroflexota; Ktedonobacteria; Ktedonobacterales; Thermosporotrichaceae. The record is from RNAcentral.
UGAGGAAUUUUCGUCAAUGGGGGCAACCCUGAACGAGCAACGCCGCGUGCAGGAAGAAGGUUUUCGGAUCGUAAACUGCUUUUCUCUGGGACGAGCAAGGACGGUACCAGAGGAAUCAGCCUCGGCUAACUACGUGCCAGCAGCCGCGGUAAUACGUAGGAGGCGAGCGUUGUCCGGAGUUACUGGGCGUAAAGCGUACGCAGGCGGUCCAGUUAGUCUAUAGGGACAGGGCACAGCUUAACUGUGUCAGGCUUAUGGAAACUGUUGGACUUGAGGGCUUCAGAGGGAUGGGGAAUUCCGGGUGGAGUGGUGAAAUGCGUAGAGAUCCGGAAGAACACCAAAGGCGUAGGCACCAUCCUGGGGAGUCACUGACGCUCAGGUACGAAAGCUAGGGGAGCGAACG